GUGCUCCCUUUGGUAACACAUAUACUAAUGCAAUAACAUAGAGAUCAGCAUGACCCCUGAGCAAGGAUGAAGCAGAUUCGUUAAGUGUUCCAUACUUAC
RNAcentral lists this small nuclear RNA (99 nucleotides) under Nannospalax galili (Upper Galilee mountains blind mole rat). Lineage: Eukaryota; Metazoa; Chordata; Mammalia; Rodentia; Spalacidae. The record is from RNAcentral.